CAUGGAUAUGAUGAUAACCUUUUCUGAAAUUGUAUAAUGUAGACUAAAUAAAUCAGACUACAAUUAUCUGAUCUCAUG
Non-coding RNA from Corchorus olitorius, 78 nucleotides. The record is from Rfam. NCBI's taxonomy places the organism in Eukaryota, Viridiplantae, Streptophyta, Magnoliopsida, Malvales, Malvaceae.